Molecule: long non-coding RNA, 7267 nt
Organism: Rhea pennata
Lineage: Eukaryota; Metazoa; Chordata; Aves; Rheiformes; Rheidae
Exons: 3
Source: RefSeq, a predicted model, not a curated record
GGCGCGGGCGGUGCCCGCGUGGGCGAGGCCCUCGCGCGGCCCCGCGCGAGUAGGGGGGGGCGCGAUGCGUUGGGCCGGGCACUUCCCGUGGCAAAAGUCGGAGGAAGUACCGGAGAGUGGCGCGAAGUGGGACUGAGCCCGCUGGCGGCCCCCGCGGCCCGCCCGGGGCGCUGCGACCCGAAACGCGGCGCGGCGGCAGCGGCAGGAGAGGCCGGGCUGCGGGGGCGGGGAGAGGGGCUGAGCCCCUUCUCCCGGGAAGAGGCGCCCCCGCUGGAGGCGGCAGCGCCCCGGGCUGCUCCCGGCCCUUGGCUGUCCACACGGCGCCCCGGCGCUGCUCCCUUUCCUCCCAGCCCUCUCCCCACCUCCGUCUCGCCUCCCCACUCCUUGCUGCCUUGGCGUCCCACGGCCGUGCCAAGGAGCUGCCUUCCCGCCAGGUGAGCUGGACUGAAGCGUGGAGCGCUGCAUCGCUCUGCUUAACGCCCGCCUGGGACAGGGUCCCUGGCUUCCAACAAGAGAAGUAGAUCAAGUGAAGGAGGCCAGAGAUGAGGGUGAGACAUGAGCUGGAAAACAGAGACGUUCACUAUACUACAAAAGAUCGGAUAGCACAGCCACCUGCGACAUGGAAAAGAAAUCCGAGAUGCAGCAGAGGUAGCUGCUGACACAAGGGAAGCAAUGGCCACAGCAGACUAGAGGUCCAGAGCCUGAAGUGGUUGCCUGUGGUAGUAUCUGGAUUCCCAAGGAAACGAAGCCCAUAUGAGCACAAAGGCAGAGUGCUCACUGCCUUUGUGUCUAUUUAGAUAGAAAACAGAAUGGUUUUGGUUCUGUUGACGUUGCAGGAGAGUGAAAGAAUACCAGUGUUCAGAUGUUUCCCAGUGGUGGAGAAUUUUCAGCCAGACAUGGACAGUGGGGAUUUGAUCUUCUGCUGAUCUCUGUUAGACUCAGUGACACUCUGUAUGUACCCAGAGAUACCUGAAGUCUUGCUUGACAUCACUGAGAUGUUUUCAUGAAUAAGAAAUGCUUUUCUGAAACAAUACUUUAAAAUGCAGUAGUGUUACACCACUUUGGCAACAGGUUUAUUUUUUGCAGUAUCUUCUCCUUUCUUCUUUCUGACCUUUUUACCUCCCCCCCCAAACACACCAUUUUAGUUCUGUUUCCUUUAUGUCUGAAGAGAAUGACAUCUUCACGUACUACUAUACGUAAAGGAAGAAUAGCAACAUUUUGGAGGAAUAAAUGUUGCUAACAGAAAGGAAGUGCAAGGUUUUAGGGUUGGGCAGAAAAACCUCCCGAACAAACCAACAACAAACAAACAGGGUUUCCUCAGAGACUUAAGGUCACCUUGAGAUACUGCAUAUGGGUUAUGUAUGGCUGUGCUCCAGAACCCAGGACAAGGUCAGUAACUCAGCUUUCGUUUGGAAAAGAAUGUUUUUCAAGGCUCAUGGCUGUGAGAAAGAAGCAGGAGUAGGUGGACCAAAUAUCAUCUGUGCCUUUCUGAGUGGGCAAACCAACUGAAAACAACAGGUGUAGGAGGCAGGAACUUCUUCGUUCAUUAUAUUCCUGAGUUCUGCUGCUCUGGGCAAGGACCUCCAUUAAUAACACUCUCAUACAAUGUUCAUAAGUGAGGCUUUUGUUCUGAUGCUCUGGUGUCAGCAGAGACCACAUUGAAAUGAUGCUCAGGAAAGUGGAGAGUGAAUCUUUCUUUCUCUGGAAAAGCCUGAAUCUGAUAGAUACUGUGUAACUCAGCUAGAUACUGUGUAAGAGCAGACACAGCCAAACAGGAGUGGUGACAGGUCCAACGCAAGGACUGCACUCGUGAAGCUACUUCAACACCUACAACUUCAAAUAAGGGAGCUGUAGAGAGGUAGGGCCUAACUGCUUUGGCAGAGCUAUGAAACCACUCUGUCUUCAUGCCCUCAGUCUUUUAAAUGUAGCUCUUUGAAAGAUGUUUAAAAUACAGCAUUCCAGGUUUACCUGCAGAGGUCACGAUGCUCUCUUUGUGGACACUGUGUGCCUCUAUAGCUUUAGCAAGAAAUGCUAUCUUUGGGAUGCCCUCCCGUGUUUAAAUAAAUAGCCUGGGAAUGUCUGUUAAAGUCACUGUGAAAGCAAUAACACUAUGGAUAAUUCCAAAUGGAAGUAUCUCUCUGAAUCCUUUUGUUUUCUUUUUGUCUUACGGCACUGUGUACUCUUAGAGCAGGGUUAUGAGGUUGUCUUGGAGAUGGAGGGCUUAAGCAUAAGCCUAUCGUACUGAAAUGUUCACAUUAAACAAUGUAACUGUGAAUUCUUUCAACAAAUGACUGAGUGAGGUGAAGUGACAAAAAGCUUACGAAACUGUCACAGGGGAGUUGCAUAAACUGGGGUCAGAUGUUCAGUUUGAGACUGUUACAUGAGCGAGGAGUUUUGCAGCUGGUUGACUAAAGGAAGUGGGAAGUCAGCUGGUCUCUAGUUGUUAUAACAACAACCUGUUAUGUUUCUCAGGCAACAGAGAUGCCCAUAGUCUUUUGGCAGUCAUGAAUCAAGAGGAUAAUUUCCUCUUUUCCUGGAAUAAUAUUUGAAAACUACACAUGUUUUUCAGUCCAUUGAAUUUGGGACUUCUCUUAGAAGUGGCAAGAUCCUGUCAAGUGUUAUUACGCUAUGGUGCAGCCUUUGAGUGGGUUGGCACAGAGAUUUUGGGAAUGCACCAUAGGUUUAAAUAAUGGUAAAUAAUUGUGAAAGAGAAGGACAGAAAGAACCUCCCAGGUUGCUGCAACAUCCAGCUGAAGAAAAAAACAUCCACAACUGUGCAUUGCCUUUUUUCCUAAUGUUUAGUUUAUAUCUUCCAAGAGAAAACUGGCAAGUGACUGGCUAUGAAUAAUGUACCCACGGGGAAAGUUUGUUUCUAAACAUGAACAUUUAGUGCCUGGCUUAUGUCUAGGUGGGUGUGCUGGCUAUUUCAUAAAGAUUUCAUUUUAUUGAGGCAACCACAUGAAAGAAUUGCUGUGGAGGAACUGAAGGUGAGAAUAUCUUUAUUCUGCAUCUACAGCAACAUCAACACCCUUCACGUAGUAAAACUGAAAUGCAGAGACUAACCUUUCUCUUUCAUCUCUUCCAUGCCCCUCUCUGUGCCUGGGUCCCCUUGCAAGUUAUACCUAAUAUGAUAUCAUCCUUUACAUUUCUUGCUAUCUCAAUUAGGCAGGGGAAUUAUCAGCUUGAUGAAACUCUGGGCUUUUCUACCAUCAUGGCAGAACACAGAGAAAGUACAGGCUUGAGCUAAGGUUUAAUGUAAUUUAGGAAAAGGUGCUGAUGGAAUAACAGCUGCAAACACAAACAAAAAAAAAAAAAAGAAGAAGAAGAAAAAUACUUGCAUUUAGCUAUAGGACUUUCAAAGCUGAGGUCACUUAAGCAAGGGAGCCUGAAGGUGCAGUACGCUUCAGAAACAGGUAAAUCAAAUCAUGUAACAGCAUAAUCUGCAUAAUUUUUUAAAACAUAUCGAGGCCUCUAAUCUGAACCUUGCUGAACUUGAUGACACUCUUCAGUACUUAUGGUCUUCAGUACCCCCUGGUUAAGCAGUGCCAGAUGCAUAUUCUCCUUCAUCCUCUCAGUCCUCCUUAAUGCCCAGGUUUGGGGGAAUGACUGUUAGCAAAAGAUUUAAUAUCUGAUGCAUCUGCAGUUAACCCUCUGUAUAAAGGAGUCUCAGAAUUAUGUUGCUGUGUACAUCUGAGAGAGGUAAAAUAACACUAUAUAUGGAAAAUACUCAUUUCUGCCAAUGUAAAUCAGGAAUAAUUCUGUUUAAAUUGAACACCAUUGAGAUGACUAUCAAGGCUUGAGAAUUCCCAGUAUACAGAAUAUUUUAUGCUGUGGUAUAGGUAGGGCCAAAAAAACACAGCAAGGCUCAGAUAGUUAUAACAGCGAAACACUUUCCCAACAAUUCCCACCAAAAAGUUCUGUUAAAAAACAGUUAAGGCUGCUUCAGGGCAAAACACACCCACACAAGAAAUGACAGGUUAGAGGAACCUUCUUCCCAUAAGUUAUCAUGCACACCUCAUAUUAACCACUCCCAGCGACAGACUCCAAACCACAACAAAGAACUUCCCUGGUUCUGUGGGAUAAGGAAACAAACUAAAUACCCAUCCCUCCUACAUACCUAAGUGCAAAACGCUCUGUCUUCUGCAACACUAGCAUUAGAGGCUGAUGCAUGUGUAGUGGCUAUGUUUGUGAUUAUAGGAAAAAAUGGAGAUAACAGGUGUCCCCUGAGCUUGCACUCUGCUGGUACUGCAGGUUUCAAGAACCGUCUUUGACUUGUCAGACUGUGUUUCUCUCUGUAGGUGACUCACCACUCCACUUGGUAGACCCCUUCCCCAGCGCAGAGCUGAGGAGCCACCUAUUGCUUUUUGUUAGAUUGGGGGAUCAGCUAUGUGAGCUAUUUACACUACAGUAAAUCUGAUUGCCUUGGUGUAAAGAUAGUUACAUUUGCACCAGCUAUUUGUACUGGACUUCUUCUACAUGAUUUAUUCCUAUUGAGCCAUAAGAAAUUUUACAAGGAAGGAGUUUAUGUUGAAGAAUUGUUUGUGUGCAUGCCUCUGCUCCCAAGCGUGUUGGUGGUCUUUCAUCUACCAUCCCACACAGCUUUAUACCUUCCCCCACAUCUACCUGCUGCUUUCACCCAGGUUUCUUCUGCUCCAGGUAGACCAGCGCUGACCAGGUUUCCUCCUUGUUUAAAUGCAAAUGAAGAGUUGGUUCUGCCUUUUUGUAUCCAGAUGCUCCAGGAAGUCUAAGAACAGAGCAAACUCUGUCCACUCUAGGAACAAUGUCUUGGUAUCGCACCAACAUGUUUUACCUGUCAUUCUCUGGAGAAAGGCAAAGAUGUGUUGAAUCCAGGCAUAAAACCCAAGACUUUUAUGUUGGGCCUCGUAGAAGGAUGAAUUCUCUUCCCUUACAAAGUUGCAUCAAGACAAAGAAUUUGAACACAAAUAGAUGAUGGACAGUAGCUUUCCAAACUCUGUCUCUUGACAAUGAGCUGGAGAUAACUCUGUCAAGAGAUACUAAUCUAAGAAUAUAAUUCCAUGUCAUGUGUUUGACCUUGAAGAUGCUGAGCACAGUAAGGUGGAAAACUUCUGUGCUGAAGCUACACGCCAAUGCUGUGACCUGGACAUAGUCUGUUACUUCACCAUGUGUCUCCAAAAUUUUGACCUUGUUCUCCCUGUGUGCUGCACUGUGUGGCCAGCUCCAGCCUAGAAAAAUGAUAUUGUUACGAAACUAUGUUCAUUACUGACUGAACAUUUUAUAGCUCUGUCAUAGUGCAAAGGCCCAGGACAGCAAACUAGUAAAAGUUUGAUACGGGCAUUUGCAACCCCAUUUAAUUUCUCUGUCCUCCAGGAAAAUCUGUUUAUUUGUAUCAACAAAUCCUAGAGAAUAAAUAAUUGUUUAGAAAACUGUAAUAACCAGAUUUUAAUCUUAACGCUUUUAAUGUUAAAGACUUUAUUAAUGGUUUCUAAUUUUCCUGUGGGCUAUGUAAUGGUAAUACAACACAGAGUGAGCUUGAAGCAGGGGGCUUUUCAGGAUACCUAUAUAUGACAUACACAUCUCUAUUCACUGGUCUAAUGAUAUGAGAUCAAAAUGGGUGGAACAUUUCCUCUGUUUCCAUGACAGGAAUACUUGUCUUCAGCAUCAAUACUAAGCUUCUCUGUAAGCUCUUUUGAGCCAUCCUUAUUAAAAAUACAUUAGACAUACAGCUGUACGAGUUGAAGUCUUGGAAGAAUAUCUCUAUCCCUGCAAAGUCAAAGUGCUUUCAGUGUGGAUGCCUGCAGGGGACAGUGGUCAUAAAGCAGUCAGAGAACAUAAGGAAUGCUGAGAUUUCAGCACCCGCGUGAUUACCCACAGCUAUACAAACAGUACAGGGAAGAAGACAGAUUGACCUUGGCCAUGUUUUGAGAGUGCCAGAUAACUAGGUCCUUAAACAAGCCUUCUUUCAGCAUGAAGAAGAAAGAAGAGACAGUGACCCCAAGGAAUGCUAGGAAACAGAAUAAUGAGUUAAGCCGCAACAUUGCAAGUCAGCAGCUGGAACAUCUGAAAGGGACUGGCCCAGGAUAAAAGUGGUUGGUGAUGACAGGUAUCUGCCUUAUGUGCCUGGCAGUGAGAGAAAGAGAUUAUGUUGGGUAUAUGACAGUAGUAUAUCAAGUACAUGUAGGCAGAAUUUUUCAAAACAUGAAUAGUAUACUAUGCCUUAGCAGUCCCAUAACUACUCACCAUAGUGAAAUUUUAGUCUGUUUGUAGGAAUUUGAAAUGGAGUUUAAGAAGCACAAAAUGUUUUAGCAUAUUUCUGUAUCCACAGGGUCAUGGCUAUCUUUUCUUAGCUUCCCAGAUUAGUAUCUGUAUUUGUCUGUAGAGAACAUUGGGAGGCUCCAUUCUAGCAAAUAAUGGCAAUGCUCAUCUUGUUGACCUCCCCUUCACCUUUGCAAAUAGGUAUUUUCUUUGCUGUUUCCUCACAUGACUGGGGAACACACCCUCCAACACCCGAAUGAGUUGCAAAAGUGCAAACACAAUCACCAGGCUGGGCUCAUCAGCUUCCCCUCUAACUCUUAUCUUGGGCCUUGCCCCAGGAUGGUUGUUACAUACUUAAUCUGAAGGAAUCACCCUCCCAUGGUAGAUGAAGUACAGUGGAAAUACUGUGGAGAUACCACCAGAUGUUAGAUCCAUGAACCAGGGAGAUUUGAUACAAGAUGAAAGCUAGAAACAAACUUACCAUCUCCACAGUCUCCUAUAGAAAGCAGGCAGUGGAAACGAUCCUCAAAAUGGCUGUGGCAAACAGCCUGAGGAGCGAAAGAAGCUUUUUCUUUGCUAUACUGGAAAACUGAGCAUUACACAAUUACUUGUUGUUUUUCUCGCCUUAUGGAUUCUACCCUUGUAAUGUGCAAAUCCUCAGGGAAAUGUGUUCACUGCCAUCCAGCAUCUCACUAAUUAGAGAUCAAAGAAGAGAUGUUUGGAGAGCUCAUAGAGAUCACUGUGAAGAGCAUUAUUGUAGUUCAAAAUGACAAGAGUUCCUGAAACAAGAAAAGAAAUGGCAGAAAGGAGAAGGAAAAGAACCAGGAGGUGAAGGUCACAGUCUGUCACUCAUUUACUGGUGAAAAGGGGGGUCAUUUUGAUGUAAGAAUUGGGGGAAUCAGUCAAUCAGCAGAAUCUGUGUUAGUUGAAAAGGGCAAGAAAGAUGCAUGCAGAGAUUCAGUAGCAGCCCUUGGAUAUUAUGAUCAGGUCAUAAACCACUGUUAUUGCUAUUAAAGAAUAUGCUCCAAAGACA